This 253-nucleotide ribosomal RNA is filed under the name uncultured microorganism. RNAcentral's name for it is "partial 16S ribosomal RNA". It matches the Rfam family "Bacterial small subunit ribosomal RNA", at positions 524 to 776 of the family's 1533-position model. The record is from RNAcentral.
UACGUAGGGUGCGAGCGUUAAUCGGAUUUACUGGGCGUAAAGCGUGCGUAGGCGGCCCGUUAAGACAGGUGUGAAAUCCCUGGGCUCAACCUAGGAAUUGCGCUUGUGACUGGCGGGCUCGAGUACGGUAGAGGGGGGUGGAAUUCCUGGUGUAGCAGUGAAAUGCGUAGAGAUCAGGAGGAACACCGAUGGCGAAGGCAGCCCCCUGGGCCUGUACUGACGCUCAUGCACGAAAGCGUGGGGAGCAAACAGG